AGCUCCAAUAGCGUAUAUUAAAGUUGCUGCAGUUAAAAAGCUCGUAGUUGGAUCUCGGGGUACCUGGUCUAGCCGGUAUAGCUCACGCUAAAACUGGUCUGACCCCCCAACGUGAGGUAUUCGUCUCCGGGUGCACUUCAUUGGGUGCUCGUGAGGGGCCUCGUAGUUACUGUGAAAAAAUUAGAGUGUUCAAAGCAGGCUCAUAUGUUCGGAUAGUCGUGCAUGGAAUAACUGAAUACGUGACUGGCGCUUUUCAGUUGGUCUCGGCGACUGGUCAAAUGAUUAAGAGGGACUGCCGGGGGCAUUGGUAUGGCGGGGUUAGAGGUGAAAUUCUUGGACCGUUUGAAGACUAACUACAGCGAAAGCAUUUGCCAAGAGUGGUUUCA
This 386-nucleotide ribosomal RNA is filed under the name marine Metazoa environmental sample. RNAcentral describes it as "SSU rRNA". It matches the Rfam family "Eukaryotic small subunit ribosomal RNA", at positions 587 to 972 of the family's 1831-position model. The record is from RNAcentral. Lineage: Eukaryota; Metazoa.